AGAACGAACGCUGGCGGCAGGCUUAACACAUGCAAGUCGAACGCACCGCAAGGUGAGUGGCAGACGGGUGAGUAACGCGUGGGAAUCUACCCAACCCUUCGGAAUAGCUCCGGGAAACUGGAAUUAAUACCGAGUACGCCCUACGGGGGAAAGAUUUAUCGGGGUUGGAUGAGCCCGCGUUGGAUUAGCUAGUUGGUGGGGUAAUGGCCUACCAAGGCGACGAUCUAUAGCUGGUCUGAGAGGAUGAUCAGCCACACUGGGACUGAGACACGGCCCAGACUCCUACGGGAGGCAGCAGUGGGGAAUAUUGGACAAUGGGCGCAAGCCUGAUCCAGCCAUGCCGCGUGAGUGAUGAAGGCCCUAGGGUUGUAAAGCUCUUUCAGUGGGGAAGAUAAGUGUCGGUACCCACAGAAGACGCCCCGGCUAACUCGUGCCAGCAGCCGC
Molecule: ribosomal RNA, 444 nt
Filed under: uncultured soil bacterium
Lineage: Bacteria
Description: bacterial SSU rRNA
Rfam family: Bacterial small subunit ribosomal RNA
Source: RNAcentral